AAGCCUCAUCUCAGCUAUAUUGUUGUCCGAGCUGGUGACAGACGAAACUAUACAUCUGAAAUGGCUCUCCUUCCCUUGCUCUGAAAAAAAAUACUCGACCACAAAAUGCCAUCAGAGGCAGUUUCGGAUAGUCGAUCAAAAUGCCGGCAAAAGUCGGGAACUUAGGGACAGUGUGACAGACUGGCGUUCAACUGAACAUAAGAACUAACGUACGGAGUAGUUAAACUCCGACUAAACUUGGAGAGAUUUUCGAAAGUUACUUCAACCGCGCACACCAGUCUGCUCAGCUGCAUCCACUCCUUAAGGAGAAAUGCUCACUGUGGUGCAUUAGCACCAUCGCGCUACUGCGAAGGUUCUAUGAUUUCCAUGCAAUAAUGAAACACUGCCCACAAAACCGGCAACCACUCGUCGUUUUUGAGCCGUGGAAGGGAAACUUGACCCCACACUAGAAAAGAAGGCUGACUAGCGAGGCGACCCUCCGGUCAAUCUCAUCUCAGCGCCAGUUAAUGGAGAAGCGGGGGAAUAUCGGACAAAACAAUGCGGA
RNAcentral lists this small RNA (544 nucleotides) under Histoplasma ohiense. Its description in RNAcentral is "hypothetical lncRNA". The record is from RNAcentral. Lineage: Eukaryota; Fungi; Ascomycota; Eurotiomycetes; Onygenales; Ajellomycetaceae.